CUCUCUGCGUAGGAUCAUCAUGCCGAGCAUAAACUGGACUUUCCCACUUGCCUGGCAGGAGUGAGACAGAUCACUGUGUGCUAUAUGAGCAUCUGAGGAAGCAGGAGGCUACUAUGAGCCGACUGGAGUUGGUCCACUUCCUGUUGUCCUGUUCAUGGAAUGCCCUUUGAAAAGGAGCAGCUAGACCCUGAUGAGUUGGAAACCAUCACAGUGCACAAAAUCCUGGAGACUACACCUUCUUUCAAAGAGCAGUGUACUUGAUGUCCUUGGAGUGUGCACCCCUGUGGAAUCCAGUUCAUCUCCAAUCUGUCAGAAAGCAUCAGAGGUGGUUUUGAGUCCUUAUGUCCUAAGCCUGUGAACA
Long non-coding RNA from Aethalodelphis obliquidens (Pacific white-sided dolphin), 361 nucleotides. RefSeq lists it as uncharacterized. The transcript has 3 exons. Lineage: Eukaryota; Metazoa; Chordata; Mammalia; Artiodactyla; Delphinidae. The record is from RefSeq and is a predicted model, not a curated record.